UCAGCAGCAUCCAUGGGCCCCGAUUCUUCCCCAAGCAUCUCCGGUGCCCGUGCCCAGUCCGUGCCCGGUUCCUCUGUUAAUACCUGUCCCCCAGCAUCCAUUUCCUCUUCCAGAUCCCCAUCUGAAUCCUCCUCAGAAGACUCCCCAUCAGUCUCCCUGACCCUCUUCCUAAACAAAUCCUCCAACGAGCCCUCCUCGCGAGGGAUUUUCCUUCCUCUCCUAAUCCCACCACCAUCAUCCGCAGUCUCCAAAGGCACAUUCACAACAAUGGGUUUGUUGCAAAAGAUUGGAAAAUGGAAACCAUCUAUAGUUGCAAUACUUAUGAUUUUUUUUACUGAAUGUGUAUUAAUGCCUUUUUUGUCUCUGAAGUUUCCAAAGAGAAAGACUAUCUCAUACUGAAUGAACUCCAUGAGUAUUGUUCUUUUAGCUCUGAACUCUAGAGAAGAAACAGAUAAUGUGUAAAGGAAAUAGUAUAGUCUUGCAGAUAUGUAUAAACAUAUUGAUAAGGCUGUAUGUGUUAGAUUGAGUCUGACAACACACUAGGAUUCACAUUCCUGUUCUCGACAUGAGAGACAGAAAUGUAGUUUUAGGUGCAUUUGAACAAGGAUUAAAAGGAAUGGCUAAUGGUUGGGCAGGAAGGUGGAUUUACAAUUGCAUUCCAACCUUUUUGCAUUUUAUGUGUUAUUUGAGAAAUAUUCUGGCUGAAGUACUGAUCUAGCUCUUCAAGUAAGAAUUUACUUAAAAUUAAUUUCUCAUAUUUAUUAUACUGUUUUAAAAAUAAGGUAUUGUUAUGGUUGAGCCUUAUGGCUCCGAUACUGGGAGACGUGGUCGUAAGACUCCUCGGGAGUCAGAUACUCUCGAGGAGCGAGAAAGGAAGCGGCUGCGGGACUUAUUUGCAGAACCAUCUGACGAGGAUUCCUUUGAGGGUUUUACUGAGAGAAUGGAGGAAGAGAUGGUUAGCUCAGAGGAGGAUGACAUGGAAUGGACUCGUGUGAGGGAGGAGUUGGGUGCCACUGGCAAUGAUAGUAUGGAAGGCGAUUGGGGACCUUCAGGAUUAGACCCGUGGACAAGCUGGAGGGAUGGGACGGGAUCCACAGCUGGGGAUGCUGUGGGGCGUAGUCAAAGGUGUUUCAGUUCUGAUGAGGAAAGUGAUGAGGAAACGCCUGGAAUUAGGGUAACAGCUGAUAGUGAUGAGGAGCUGUAAACUGGCAUAAAAUGGGGUUUGGAAGCAAUGGCUAAUUGCGUUGGGCAAGGUAAUCUGGACGAACGCUUGGGCUCUGUGUGGGAAAUUCCUGAAGACGGGUGUGAUUCGUUUGCUGACUACCUUGGACCUCCGUCGUCUUCUUGACGGACGCCAUCUGUUUAUUCUGGACUGACUGACUGACUGACUACGGCCUCGGACUCUCCUUCCUGUGAUUAUCGUUGGACCUGGUGAACUACAAACGUCUGUACCUGCCUUACGACCUCCGGACCGGAUUGGAACUUCGCUGACCGCUUCUGCCCUUGAAUGCUGCGUUUGUAUCUGGAAAUUGCUUGCUGUGUGGAGGAGUAACCUCUUAGUUACUCAAACAUAGCUUUUGGCAGCAGAGAAGCAUCUGCUGCCAGUUUUUUGUAUUCCUUUGAACCUUUUGUUCACCAGCUUUUGUUUGUUUUAGUCCCAGGCUGAAGUAAGCUUUUUUGGUUUAACCCGGAUUAAACUCCGGUUUAAUCCGGUUUAUCUUUUGAACGUUUUCCUUGUGUCUUUUUACUUUUAAGGCCAAUGUUUGCCUAGCCCUUGUCUUUUACGGGCAUUUUUGGUUCUGUAACUCCAAUAAACUUUGUUAUAUCUUA
This is a long non-coding RNA of Anolis carolinensis (green anole), 1830 nucleotides long. RefSeq lists it as uncharacterized. Lineage: Eukaryota; Metazoa; Chordata; Lepidosauria; Squamata; Anolidae. The record is from RefSeq and is a predicted model, not a curated record. The transcript is spliced from 2 exons.